RNAcentral lists this ribosomal RNA (1469 nucleotides) under Epimeria morronei. RNAcentral describes it as "partial 28S ribosomal RNA". It matches the Rfam family "Eukaryotic large subunit ribosomal RNA", at positions 81 to 867 of the family's 3401-position model. Lineage: Eukaryota; Metazoa; Arthropoda; Malacostraca; Amphipoda; Epimeriidae. The record is from RNAcentral.
GAGUAGUGGCGAACGAAAGGGGAACAGCCCAGCGCAUAACCUCCCGGGCUACCAAGCCUGCGGCGGAAUGUUGCGUUAAGGGAAAGGUCGUUAAUAAGCCCUGCACUAUAUGGCCUAAGUUUGGCUUGAAUUUCUCACUGUAUCCUAACGGCUACAACGGCUCCACAGAGGGUGUCAGACCCGUGAGGCCAUGUGAUUAAAUGUGCGUGGGUUCGGCUUUAUUCCCUGAGAGUCGCGUUGCUUGAGCAUGCAGCGCUAAGCAGGUCGUAAACUCGACCUAAGGCUAAAUAUAUUCACAGAACCGAUAGUAAACAAGUACCGUGAGGGAAAGUUGAAAAGUACUCUGAAGAGAGAGUCAAAAGACCGUGAAACCGCUUAGAGUAUAAGCCAAUGGUUUUCUGGAAUGCUGGAGCUCCCCUUGCAAAAUGGUUCCCGAUUGUGGGGUACGUCCUAAGGGUAUCGUGUGUGCGAGAGAACAUGAAGACUGAUGGGCAAUCGAACCGAAAAGUGGCAUUGAGUUGAUACCACGGCAACCAAAUCUCGCGGGUCUCUGACAGUGGUAACAGGGAACGUUCUAAUGAGGAACUGAACCGAGGCUGGGCUUCAGCGAGCAUCAGUUUCUAAGCACAAUAACGAUCGGCUUUCUAGACAGCACACCACAAUCCUUUAUAAGGUCUCCCUCGUGAGGCGGGGUAGAAAAAAGAUUUAUCUUUUAUCUCUCGAGCGGGUCGUGUCGCGUUAUUGCCCUCUAGUGGCACGCUUUGGCAGCGUGUACCUACCCUUUCUUGUAUUGGGUAGGAUAUGCUAGAGGGUCGGCCGAUUUUGCACCUUGCCGUUCCAGACACGAGUGGAAUGAUCCUAUGUGAAGAUUGAUUCUGACCAUCCAAUACCCGCGAGACUUGCUUCAACCGGCUUGUCGAGUAAAUUGCACGAUUGACCUUUCGCGCCUCUCUUGCUUUAAGCUUAAUGGUGGGUCUUUAAUGGAUGAUGGGAGUGCAUUGGCCUUCUCGUCCUUAGAGACUUGCUAAAGGGUUGUCGGAGGGCAGUGAGCGAGAGCUUUCGUUGUGGUAGAGGAUGUUUGGUGCAUUAUUCCAGAGCCAUCGGUCACGUCUCGAAACACGGGCCAAGGAGCAUAGCAUGUGCGCAAGUCUAAGGGAUAAGAAAUCCUGGAGGCGAAGUGAAAGCAAAUGGUGUGUUUACGAGUGUGUUCGCACACGCGUAUUCAGUCUGCGAAAAGCGCAAUUCCUAUCGACCCCUUCGGGGGUUAGUGGACGAAUGCGUCUCGCUGCUUAAACUGGGUUGAUCCUGUUGUAAUCAAGCCUCACUGGCGAUACGUGGGCGCAAACCCCAGGCUCUCUCACUUACGAGGGUAUUCGCGUAUCCUUGAGAGAGCACUGCAGAGCGUGCAUGUUAUAACCCGAAAGAUAGUGAACUAUGCCUGGCGAGGAUGAAGCCCCUGGAAACAGGGG